ACAGCUCACUGCCUAGGCCUGGAGGAUAGACAAGUAGAUCUUUUUCUUAAAGGAUAUGAGAUCACAGAAUGGUUUGUGUUGAAAGGGAUCUCAAAGGCCUCUAGUUCCACCACCUGCCAGGGACAGGAAACGUUUCACUAGGCCAGGUUUCCCAAAGUUCCAUUCAGCUUGGCCUUAAAUAUCUUCAGGGAUGGGGUAUCCACAGCUUCUCUGGACAAUUUGUUUUAAUGUCACACCACCCUCAUAAAGAUUUCCCUCCUUGUAUAUAAUCUAAAUCUACCUUUGUUUUUUUUUGUAUGAAACCAUUACACUUUUACCUGUCACCACACUCCUCGAUGAAGAGUUCUUCCCCAUUUUUCCUGUAGGCCCCUUUGAAUAUUGGAAGGCAGCUAUAAGGUCUUCCAAGAGCCUUCUCUUCUCUGGGCUAAAUAGCUCAAACUUUCUCAGCCUGUCUUUGUAGGAGAGGUCCCCCAGCCCUUUGAUAAUCUCUGUGGCCCUUUUUGGACCUGCUGUAACAGCUCCACAUUUUUCUUGUUCUGGGGGCCUCAAAUCUGGAAGCAGUAAUCCAGGUAUGGCCCCGCAGGAGCAGAGUAGAAAGCGGUGAUCACCUCCCUCAGCCUGCUGGCCAUACUUCUUUUAAUGCAGCCUAGGAUACAGUUGGCCUUCUGGGUUGUAAGCACACAAUGCUGGCCAGUGUCAAGCUUUCCAUCUGUCAGCACCCCCAAGUUCUUAUCCAUAGGACUGCUCUUUAUCUACUCAUUGCUCAGCCUUAUCUCUGGCUCUAAAUUUGUUCUCCAUGGCUUCAUCUCAUUCCAACCUUUUGCCACCACCAAACCAAACAUGCUUCAUCACUUACUAGCCAGCCUCACAGAAUUACUUUUGUGUAGUAGCCAUUACUAGCCACUGCUCUUUCAAAGCUUGCUAGUGCUGUGCCCCCACAGCAGUCAUAGAAUUAUAGAGUUUUUUGAGUUAGAAGGGCCCCUUAAAGGUCACCCAGUCUAAUUCCCCUGCAAUGAACAGUCACCCACUGUUCACCAUCUCUUGGGGCUCUCUUCCGGAGAUCUUCACAGUGCCUCUGCAGCACUUCUGCCUGCUGGCCUGGGGCUCUGUAGGACUGUCUCUUUCCACAAGGAGAAGGUGCUAGAAGCUGGGGUUCAGCUGCCUUUCUUUACUACCACAUGGUACCCUGGAGACAUUUGUCUUCCUCAUAUGUUAUCAUUUCAGAUAGAUAUCAAAUCAUGCACUAGUUUCCUGAACAUUAACUGAGACUUUUUUUCCCAGUAAAAAGAUCAGAUGACAUGAAAGGCGUCAACUAUCCAGUCAUCUCCCCUUUUUUUUCUGACACAUCCUUGGAAAGAGUUCCUACACAUCACUUUGACCUCUUCUACUGAGAAAUUCCAAAUGUUUCUCAGUGUUGAUUCAGAAGUUGCAACUACAGCAUCCACCAGGUUCCCUCUGCAGCACCUUCUAUCCCCACAGUCCCCACGUGAGAGUGAAGGCUGGAGCAGGGCUGGAGCAUACAAGUCGCUGCACCUCUUCUGACAAGUGCCAUUUCCUGGGAUCCUUACCAUUUCAGUGCACUUGAGAUUGCUUCAGUCCAGAUGCACUGAGUCCAUGAAGAAAUUAAAAGCAGCCAAAGAUCAGACUCUUCAUUGAAGUGGCGCGAGUGGGAAUCACUUUGGAGGGAGAAAGCCAUAGCAGGAGGAGGAAGCAGCUCAUAUUUACCUUCUAGAUGCUAGACCCAAGGUGGAGAUCACAAUGCUGGCUCUAUGCCUUGAGAAGUGGCCAAAUAAAUCCAAAGAGGUCCACCAAGAAUUAUUUCCAUAAAGGCAACACCAUCUCACCAGGCACCAGCAAAAGUAAAACAAUCAAGUUUUAUGUCAACAACUGGUUGGAAACGCAUAGUCCUAACACACCAUUAUUUCUUGUCUGUGAGAGAAGAGAGAUCUGUUGCAGGAUAGCAACUGUGAGCCUCACACGUGCUUCCUUCACCUUUUUGUUAUGUUCCUCAGCACACAUCCACCCUUGAUAGAAGAUUGCCUCAAGUUCAUGGAAAUCUACAUGGAAAAAUCCACAAGUUUUCUUAGUCUAUCCACAAUGCCAGUCUGCUGUGACACCUCUGUAGGCAAAUACCCUGAAGCCAAAAGGAGAGGUCAGCCUGCCUUGACCUGUUUGCUGCCUCCAGGAGUUCCUCAGCAACCCUGGGAUUUUGCCUGAAGUAACCCAAAACCACCUCUCACAUUGUCAUACCCAUUCUCUGGGGCUCACAGUAGUUAUCUGGCAAAAACAAACCAACCCCAAACAUUUCCAACAACAAAUUAAACAAAAUAAAACAAGUACCAAC
Molecule: long non-coding RNA, 2344 nt
Organism: Gallus gallus (chicken)
Lineage: Eukaryota; Metazoa; Chordata; Aves; Galliformes; Phasianidae
Source: Ensembl